GACGGGGACCCGCACAAGCGGUGGAUGAUGUGGAUUAAUUCGAUGCAACGCGAAAACCUUACCUACCCUUGACAUGUCUGGAACCUUGCUGAGAGGCGAGGGUGCCUUCGGGAGCCAGAACACAGGUGCCGCAUGGCUGUCGUCAGCUCGUGUCGUGAGAUGUUGGGUUAAGUCCCGCAACGAGCGCAACCCUUGUCAUUAGUUGCCAUCAUUUAGUUGGGCACUCUAAUGAGACUGCCGGUGACAAGCCGGAGGAAGGUGGGGAUGACGUCAAGUCCUCAUGGCCCUUAUGGGUAGGGCUUCACACGUCAUACAAUGGUCGGUACAGAGGGUUGCCAAGCCGCGAGGUGGAGCCAAUCCCUUAAAGCCGAUCGUAGUCCGGAUCGUAGUCUGCAACUCGACUGCGUGAAGUCGGAAUCGCUAGUAAUCGUGGAUCAGAAUGUCACGGUGAAUACGUUCCCGGGUCUU
Molecule: ribosomal RNA, 468 nt
Filed under: uncultured Thauera sp.
Lineage: Bacteria; Pseudomonadati; Pseudomonadota; Betaproteobacteria; Rhodocyclales; Zoogloeaceae
Description: bacterial SSU rRNA
Rfam family: Bacterial small subunit ribosomal RNA
Source: RNAcentral